RNAcentral lists this long non-coding RNA (492 nucleotides) under Olea europaea subsp. europaea. Lineage: Eukaryota; Viridiplantae; Streptophyta; Magnoliopsida; Lamiales; Oleaceae. The record is from RNAcentral.
AGUACAUCGAGAAAUUUCAACAAUUUAAUAAUAAAUUAAACAAAUUUUCUCACUGAAAGCUGAUGGGUUAAGUUGAUAUUCUUAUACAACCCUGCUAUAUUGUCCGAAACCUACUAACCGAAGCCUUGACCGAAUGUUUUUAUUCACUCGCACUACGUGCAUUGAUUUCAGUGAAAUGUUGUACUUUGUAAUGCAUCCAAGUAUAGUUUAAGAAAUGAAGGUGGUCUGCCUCCGGGGCAAAGUUUAGUGGUGCAAAAGAAAGGAGUAAGGUUAUCUCACGCCUUACUGGCAGUCGCAGUGUGAGGUUCAAUUCUUGAGGCAUGAAAUUGGACUCCUUGUUUCCUGAUCUAUUCGGGCACAUCCCACGAUUCACUUUCCUCACAAAGCUCUAGGGAUUCAAAGUUGAGGUUCAACCUUUUUUAUUUAUUUAAGAAAUGAAGGUGGUCCAGAAAACACACACAAAAAAGCCGUAGGUGUCAUAGUUUUCAACAU